Molecule: non-coding RNA, 884 nt
Organism: Camellia sinensis
Lineage: Eukaryota; Viridiplantae; Streptophyta; Magnoliopsida; Ericales; Theaceae
Source: RefSeq, a predicted model, not a curated record
UCUCCCUCUCUCCCUCCUUUCCGAUAUUCCCAAAUUCUCUGUUAUCUCUUGGGAUAAAAAAAAAAGGGGGAAAAAAAAAAAAAACCCUAAUCUCACUGCUCUCUCCCUCCCUCUCACCCAGUCGUCACUCUAUCUCUCUUGCAGCGGCAACAACAGCAUCUAGGUAAUCCUCUUCUUUCCUUUCGCUCUUGCUCGCGCAGACCUUCCCUCUCACCCAGUCGUCACUCUGCCUCUCGCUCUUGCUCGCGCAGCGGCAACAACAACGUCUGUAGCAGCGGCAACAACAGCAUCUGUAGCACCGUCUCUCUUGCAGCGGCAACAACAGCGUCACUCUAGUUCUCCCUCCGGCAUCCAGGUUUUAGGUAAGGACUAUAUUUAGGGACUUUGGUGUGGUUUGAAUUCGCAGAGAAGGUCAAGACAUUGGGAAAAUUUUCUCUAAUGAUGAAAUUUUAAACGAAUACAAGACUAACAUCAAAGUUGUAGGUGAACUUGUACCAAACCAGAUCAGUUCAACACGAGGAUUGCAUUUCGCAAGGUUGUCAGUGAAAUGUCUAAUAGCAGAUGAAGUGAUCAAUUAUAUCAAACAACACCAUCUGUACUCAAACUCCACGGUCUAACAAUGAGCCCAUAGCCACCAACUCUCGGAUUCCUUCAACAGGUAUUCAGAUCUUUAUUUGUGAAAUUCAUUGCAUUUCUUGCAAAUCUAGUUGUAAUAACAGAAUUUCAAAUGCUGAACAAAAUUUCAAUGAAAAACCCAACAAUAAAAUUAUUAUCAAACCAAUAUCGAAUACUCUCUACUUAGUUCAAAAUAAAAUAGCAUGACCAUAAAUCUUAAUUUAUCAUAUAGUUUUCUAUAGCCUAUUGUCAUUUUCUCACUACCAUUG